RNAcentral lists this transfer RNA (32 nucleotides) under Callithrix jacchus (white-tufted-ear marmoset). RNAcentral describes it as "piRNA piR-cja-1873559". Lineage: Eukaryota; Metazoa; Chordata; Mammalia; Primates; Cebidae. RNAcentral also lists the same sequence under 2 other names. The record is from RNAcentral.
AGAAAUAUGUCUGACAAAAGAGUUACUUUGAU